Molecule: ribosomal RNA, 643 nt
Filed under: uncultured bacterium
Lineage: Bacteria
Description: bacterial SSU rRNA
Rfam family: Bacterial small subunit ribosomal RNA
Source: RNAcentral
AGUCGAGCGGUAGAGAGGUGCUUGCACCUCUUGAGAGCGGCGGACGGGUGAGUAAAGCCUAGGAAUCUGCCUGGUAGUGGGGGAUAACGCUCGGAAACGGACGCUAAUACCGCAUACGUCCUACGGGAGAAAGCAGGGGACCUUCGGGCCUUGCGCUAUCAGAUGAGCCUAGGUCGGAUUAGCUAGUUGGUGAGGUAAUGGCUCACCAAGGCGACGAUCCGUAACUGGUCUGAGAGGAUGAUCAGUCACACUGGAACUGAGACACGGUCCAGACUCCUACGGGAGGCAGCAGUGGGGAAUAUUGGACAAUGGGCGAAAGCCUGAUCCAGCCAUGCCGCGUGUGUGAAGAAGGUCUUCGGAUUGUAAAGCACUUUAAGUUGGGAGGAAGGGCAUUAACCUAAUACGUUAGUGUUUUGACGUUACCGACAGAAUAAGCACCGGCUAACUCUGUGCCAGCAGCCGCGGUAAUACAGAGGGUGCAAGCGUUAAUCGGAAUUACUGGGCGUAAAGCGCGCGUAGGUGGUUCGUUAAGUUGGAUGUGAAAUCCCCGGGCUCAACCUGGGAACUGCAUUCAAAACUGUCGAGCUAGAGUAUGGUAGAGGGUGGUGGAAUUUCCUGUGUAGCGGUGAAAUGCGUAGAUAUA